Molecule: ribosomal RNA, 478 nt
Filed under: uncultured bacterium
Lineage: Bacteria
Description: partial 16S ribosomal RNA
Rfam family: Bacterial small subunit ribosomal RNA
Source: RNAcentral
GACGAACGCUGGCGGCGUGCUUAACACAUGCAAGUCGAACGGUAAGGCCCUUCGGGGUACACGAGUGGCGAACGGGCGAGUAACACGUGGGUGAUCUGCCCUGCACUUCGGGAUAAGCCUGGGAAACUGGGUCUAAUACCGGAUAGGACUCCGGACUGCAUGGUCUGGGGUGGAAAGCUUUUGCGGUGUGGGAUGGGCCCGGGGCCUAUCAGCUUGUUGGUGGGGUGAUGGCCUACCAAGGCGACGACGGGUAGCCGGCCUGAGAGGGUGACCGGCCACACUGGGACUGAGAUACGGCCCAGACUCCUACGGGAGGCAGCAGUGGGGAAUAUUGCACAAUGGGCGCAAGCCUGAUGCAGCGACGCCGCGUGAGGGAUGACGGCCUUCGGGUUGUAAACCUCUUUCAGCAUCGACGAAGCGAAAGUGACGGUAGGUGCAGAAGAAGGACCGGCCAACUACGUGCCAGCCGCCGCAGUAA